GGGCCCGUAGCUCAGCCAGGACUAGAGCGUCGGGCUUCGGACCCGGAGGUCCCGGGUUCAAAUCCCGGCGGGCCCGCCA
This 79-nucleotide transfer RNA is filed under the name Thermoprotei archaeon. RNAcentral describes it as "tRNA-Arg". It matches the Rfam family "tRNA". Rfam says of the family: Transfer RNA (tRNA) molecules are approximately 80 nucleotides in length. Their secondary structure includes four short double-helical elements and three loops (D, anti-codon, and T loops). Further hydrogen bonds mediate the characteristic L-shaped molecular structure. tRNAs have two regions of fundamental functional importance: the anti-codon, which is responsible for specific mRNA codon recognition, and the 3' end, to which the tRNAs corresponding amino acid is attached (by aminoacyl-tRNA synthetases). tRNAs cope with the degeneracy of the genetic code in two manners: having more than one tRNA (with a specific anti-codon) for a particular amino acid; and 'wobble' base-pairing, i.e. permitting non-standard base-pairing at the 3rd anti-codon position. The record is from RNAcentral. Lineage: Archaea; Thermoproteati; Thermoproteota; Thermoprotei.